ACAUGGGUGGUUCGGUGGUAGAACUCUCAUCUUCCAUGCAGGAGACCCAGGUUUGAUUCUUGGCCAAUGCA
This is a transfer RNA of Loxodonta africana (African savanna elephant), 71 nucleotides long. It matches the Rfam family "tRNA". Rfam says of the family: Transfer RNA (tRNA) molecules are approximately 80 nucleotides in length. Their secondary structure includes four short double-helical elements and three loops (D, anti-codon, and T loops). Further hydrogen bonds mediate the characteristic L-shaped molecular structure. tRNAs have two regions of fundamental functional importance: the anti-codon, which is responsible for specific mRNA codon recognition, and the 3' end, to which the tRNAs corresponding amino acid is attached (by aminoacyl-tRNA synthetases). tRNAs cope with the degeneracy of the genetic code in two manners: having more than one tRNA (with a specific anti-codon) for a particular amino acid; and 'wobble' base-pairing, i.e. permitting non-standard base-pairing at the 3rd anti-codon position. The record is from Rfam. Lineage: Eukaryota; Metazoa; Chordata; Mammalia; Proboscidea; Elephantidae.